This 218-nucleotide unclassified non-coding RNA is filed under the name Hevea brasiliensis (rubber tree). Lineage: Eukaryota; Viridiplantae; Streptophyta; Magnoliopsida; Malpighiales; Euphorbiaceae. The record is from RNAcentral.
CUCACCAGAGAAUGGGCCCAAGUACUUAACACGGUCAGGGCCAUACCAUGGGCUGCUAGAUGGGGCGGACUUGGCAACAGCCUUUCUCAUAGUGAUCCUUCCAUUUCCAGAAAUUUCUGAGGCAGAUGGUGAGAGUUUGACUGCCUGUCCAGCAAAUGAAGGGGAAGAAAGAGCCAUUGUAGCAGCUGCCAUUUGUGUUUAUUUUAAGAGAAGAAUUA